This 26-nucleotide non-coding RNA is filed under the name Rattus norvegicus (Norway rat). The record is from RNAcentral. Lineage: Eukaryota; Metazoa; Chordata; Mammalia; Rodentia; Muridae.
UGAGGCCCCUACUCUGCAUAUGUUCA